UACGUAUGGAGCAAGCGUUAUCCGGAAUUACUGGGUGUAAAGGGAGCGUAGGCGGCAAGGCAAGUCUUAUGUGAAAACCCAGGGCCCAACCCUGGGACUGCAUUGGAAACUGUAUUGCUUGAGUACCGGAGAGGCAGGCGGAAUUCCCAGUGUAGCGGUGAAAUGCGUAGAUAUUAGGAGGAACACCAGUGGCGAAGGCGGCCUGCUGGACGGUAACUGACGCUGAGGCUCGAAAGCGUGGGGAGCAAACAGG
RNAcentral lists this ribosomal RNA (253 nucleotides) under uncultured bacterium. RNAcentral's name for it is "partial 16S ribosomal RNA". It matches the Rfam family "Bacterial small subunit ribosomal RNA", at positions 524 to 776 of the family's 1533-position model. The record is from RNAcentral.